GACACGUCGAGCAGGUACGAAAGUAGGUCUUAGUGAUCCGGUGGUUCUGUAUGGAAGGGCCAUCGCUCAACGGAUAAAAGGUACUCCGGGGAUAACAGGCUGAUACCGCCCAAGAGUUCACAUCGACGGCGGUGUUUGGCACCUCGAUGUCGGCUCAUCACAUCCUGGGGCUGAAGCCGGUCCCAAGGGUAUGGCUGUUCGCCAUUUAAAGUGGUACGCGAGCUGGGUUUAGAACGUCGUGAGACAGUUCGGUCCCUAUCUGCCGUGGGCGUUGGAGAUUUGAGGGAAGCUGCUCCUAGUACGAGAGGACCGGAGUGGACGAACCUCUGGUGUUCGGGUUGUCACGCCAGUGGCAUUGCCCGGUAGCUAUGUUCGGAAAGGAUAACCGCUGAAAGCAUCUAAGCGGGAAACCUGCCUCAAGAUGAGAUCUCCCGGGCCUUCGGGCCCCUAAAGGACCGUAGAAGACUACUACGUUGAUAGGUUGGGUGUGUAAGUGCUGUGAAGCAUUGAGCUAACCAAUACUAAUUGUCCGUGAGGCUUGAUCAU
Molecule: ribosomal RNA, 546 nt
Filed under: Litorivicinaceae bacterium
Lineage: Bacteria; Pseudomonadati; Pseudomonadota; Gammaproteobacteria; Oceanospirillales; Litorivicinaceae
Description: partial 23S ribosomal RNA
Rfam family: Bacterial large subunit ribosomal RNA
Source: RNAcentral